UACGGAGGAUCCAAGCGUUAUCCGGAUUCACUGGGUUUAAAGGGUGCGUAGGUGGAAUGACAAGUCAGUGGUGAAAUCUUGCAGCUUAACUGUAAAACUGCCAUUGAUACUGUUAUUCUUGAGUACAUUUGAUGUGAGCGGAAUGUGUCGUGUAGCGGUGAAAUGCUUAGAUAUGACACAGAACACCAAUUGCGAAGGCAGCUCACAAAACUGUAACUGACACUGAGGCACGAAAGCGUGGGGAUCAAACAGG
RNAcentral lists this ribosomal RNA (253 nucleotides) under uncultured bacterium. RNAcentral describes it as "partial 16S ribosomal RNA". It matches the Rfam family "Bacterial small subunit ribosomal RNA", at positions 524 to 776 of the family's 1533-position model. The record is from RNAcentral.